UACGGGGGGGGCAAGCGUUGUUCGGAAUUACUGGGCGUAAAGGGCUCGUAGGCGGCCAACUAAGUCAGACGUGAAAUCCCUCGGCUUAACCGGGGAACUGCAUCUGAUACUGGAUGGCUUGAGUUCGGGAGAGGGAUGCGGAAUUCCGAGUGUAGAGGUGAAAUUCGUAGAUAUUCGGAAGAACACCAGUGGCGAAGGCGGCUCACUGGACUGGUAUUGACGCUGAGGUGCGAAAGCGUGGGGAGCAAACAGG
RNAcentral lists this ribosomal RNA (253 nucleotides) under uncultured bacterium. RNAcentral describes it as "partial 16S ribosomal RNA". It matches the Rfam family "Bacterial small subunit ribosomal RNA", at positions 524 to 776 of the family's 1533-position model. The record is from RNAcentral.